RNAcentral lists this long non-coding RNA (454 nucleotides) under Prunus dulcis (almond). RNAcentral describes it as "sRNA ncRNA". The record is from RNAcentral. Lineage: Eukaryota; Viridiplantae; Streptophyta; Magnoliopsida; Rosales; Rosaceae.
CCAAGUCCCUCCAAGGAAUCCCAAAUUCUAAUUUCCCCAAAACCUUUCUGGGUUUCAUCUGUUUUCUGGUUUGGUCCAAGCCUUUCAAUGCUUUGGACAAUUUGCUUGAUUGCUUUAUCGCCGCUAAUGCCAACUAACUUCCCAGCCAGCACAGUUUCCAGCUUUUCGGCUUUGGCAUUGUUGUGGGUCUUCUUGUUUCGGGGUUUUGAGAAGUCAAUGACUUCAUGGUGUUGAAGAAGAAGAGGACCCUUCAUCCAUGGAGCUGUGGGCGCUUUAAUACAAGCGUCAGUGCUUGAAUUAGGCUCUGAUGGAGCCUUCGAAUUCGGGGUUGUCCUGGUGGAGCUGAGUGAGAGAGAAUUGGGAGAUUUUGAGGGAAUUGGGUUAGUUGGUUUGGGGUUUUGUGGAGGUUUUGAGUUUAAGGCAGAUAAGAUGGGAUUGUAUGAAUGGAAUCGUG